AUUGAACGCUGGCGGCAUGCCUUACACAUGCAAGUCGAACGGUAACGCGGGGCAACCUGGCGACGAGUGGCGAACGGGUGAGUAAUGCAUCGGAACGUGCCCAGUAGUGGGGGAUAGCCCGGCGAAAGCCGGAUUAAUACCGCAUACGACCUACGGGUGAAAGCGGGGGAUCGCAAGACCUCGCGCUAUUGGAGCGGCCGAUGUCAGAUUAGGUAGUUGGUGAGGUAAAGGCUCACCAAGCCUUCGAUCUGUAGCUGGUCUGAGAGGACGACCAGCCACACUGGGACUGAGACACGGCCCAGACUCCUACGGGAGGCGGCAGUGGGGAAUUUUGGACAAUGGGCGCAAGCCUGAUCCAGCCAUGCCGCGUGCGGGAAGAAGGCCUUCGGGUUGUAAACCGCUUUUGUCAGGGAAGAAAAGCUCCGGGCUAAUGCCUCGGGGUAAUGACGGUACCUGAAGAAUAAGCACCGGCUAACUACGUG
RNAcentral lists this ribosomal RNA (482 nucleotides) under uncultured bacterium. RNAcentral's name for it is "bacterial SSU rRNA". It matches the Rfam family "Bacterial small subunit ribosomal RNA", at positions 29 to 507 of the family's 1533-position model. The record is from RNAcentral.